RNAcentral lists this transfer RNA (74 nucleotides) under Planifilum fulgidum. Its description in RNAcentral is "tRNA_Cys_GCA". It matches the Rfam family "tRNA". Rfam says of the family: Transfer RNA (tRNA) molecules are approximately 80 nucleotides in length. Their secondary structure includes four short double-helical elements and three loops (D, anti-codon, and T loops). Further hydrogen bonds mediate the characteristic L-shaped molecular structure. tRNAs have two regions of fundamental functional importance: the anti-codon, which is responsible for specific mRNA codon recognition, and the 3' end, to which the tRNAs corresponding amino acid is attached (by aminoacyl-tRNA synthetases). tRNAs cope with the degeneracy of the genetic code in two manners: having more than one tRNA (with a specific anti-codon) for a particular amino acid; and 'wobble' base-pairing, i.e. permitting non-standard base-pairing at the 3rd anti-codon position. Lineage: Bacteria; Bacillati; Bacillota; Bacilli; Caryophanales; Thermoactinomycetaceae. The record is from RNAcentral. RNAcentral also lists the same sequence under 4 other names.
GGGGGCAUAGCCAAGUGGUAAGGCACGGGACUGCAAAUCCCUUAUCCCCGGUUCGAUUCCGGGUGCCCCCUCCA